CCUACGGGAGGCAGCAGUGAGGAAUAUUGGUCAAUGGUCGGGAGCCUGAACCAGCCAAGCCGCGUGAAGGAAGAAGGUACUGAGUAUUGUAAACUUCUUUUGUCGGGGAACAAAGGCGGAGACGCGUCUCCGGAUGAGUGUACCCGAAGAAAAAGCAUCGGCUAACUCCGUGCCAGCAGCCGCGGUAAUACGGAGGAUGCGAGCGUUAUCCGGAUUUAUUGGGUUUAAAGGGUGCGCAGGCGGGAGAUCAAGUCAGCGGUAAAAGGUCGGGGCUCAACCCCGGCCGGCCGUUGAAACUGGUUGUCUCGAGUUGGAGAGAGGUAUGCGGAAUGCGUGGUGUAGCGGUGAAAUGCAUAGAUAGCGCGCAGAACUCCGAUUGCGAAGGCAGCAUACCGGCUCCAUACUGACGCUGAGGCACGAAAGCGUGGGGAUCGAACAGGAUUAGAUACCCGAGUAGUC
Molecule: ribosomal RNA, 459 nt
Filed under: uncultured bacterium
Lineage: Bacteria
Description: partial 16S ribosomal RNA
Rfam family: Bacterial small subunit ribosomal RNA
Source: RNAcentral